Molecule: long non-coding RNA, 2118 nt
Filed under: Canis lupus familiaris (dog)
Lineage: Eukaryota; Metazoa; Chordata; Mammalia; Carnivora; Canidae
Description: lncRNA (ENSCAFG00040017747.1)
Source: RNAcentral
GAGAGAGAGAGAGAGAGAGAGAGACACAGAGACCCAGGCAGAGGGAGAAGCAGGCUCCAUGCACCGGGAGCCUGACAUGGGAUUCGAUCCCGGGUCUCCAGGAUCGCGCCCUGGGCCAAAGGCAGGUGCUAAACCGCUGCACCACCCAGGGAUCCCCAAAAUAUAUUUUUAAAUUCAAAUCCAGUUUGCCGACAUACGGUGUAACACCCAGCGACGUGUGCCCCAGGUCUUCUCUGGCCGCUCAACUAACGGGCCGGGCGCACAGCCCCGUACCUGGCGUACCUGGCGGCCGGGAAGGCGUGCAGGGAAGGAAAGAGCAACAUGACGCUGUCACUGUGCGGCUGACACUAGUGGAGAGGUGUCCCCGCCAAGCCUGGAGCUCAUCCCGCGGGGCUCCCUCUCUCCAGGCGGGCAACGUGGACCGGCUGCGGGGAGUCACCCCCUGGCUGCAGACCGCUGGCACCUUGGAGCUGGAGCUGCUCAGCACCAACAACACAUCUUCAUCCUCCACAAGGGCGAAGGGGAAGCUGGAGGGGGUUGAGGAACAGGAACCUCAGGGCCGCGGCUGACCCCAGGGCCAGGCUGCAGGGGCGAGCAUGGCAGGCUUCCUCCCAAGUCACCGUGCUCGUCCCGGCCGGCGUCACUCCCGGCGCCCUGAAGCCUGGGUUCUAAAUAUAGAUUGUGUAUUUUGUUAAGCUCUUCAGUUUGCUUUCUAACUUCAGUAAAAAGAUGUAAGCGGGAGAAAAAUGAUCUGUCAAAGGAAUUUAAAAGCAAAUGGAUUCAAGUACACAAUGUGGUGUUACCACAGCCUGGGACAAAGGAAGAGUGGCCGCAAGAGGGGAGGCCGAUGGUGGCCAGUGGGCCGCAGAACUGGACUUCAAUUCACCGUAUGAACUGAGCCCACUGCUGCCUAGCAGGAGCGUCCCAUUGACAUGGGGUAUGGCUCCCGGUGAGGUAUAGGACAUAAGGGUUGGGGGUGCCUGGCGGGGCUCGGUCAGUCAAGUGUCUGCGGUGGGCCCAGGUCAUGGGAUCGGGCCUCCCCUUGGGCUCCCUGCCCAGCGGGGGGUCUGCUUUUCCCUCUCCCUCUGAGCCUCCUCCCUCGCCGCUUGUGCUUUCUCUCUCUCUCUCUCCCUCUGUCUCAAAUAAAUAAAUAAAGCCUUAAAAAAAUAAGAUAAAAGUUAAAGUUGGCACCGGGAAUUUUCCUGAAGACUGUCACUUGUGUUUGUCUACGGACAGAUGUGUUUUAUGUUUGGACUCUGGGCGCUCCGAGGCCAGCAAGCUGCUGGGGCCCUGCAAUUAGCAGAGGUGUGAGAAAGGGCAAGUGGUGUCUGUGAUGGAGCAACGAUCGCGUCCGUCUCCCCUGGCCCUUUUCCCAUCUCUUUUUCUUGUAGUGGUGCUCAUGCCCCGUCUUUUUUUUUUUUUUUUCCCCCGUCUUUAUUAUAUAACCCAACCGACUUAAACAGCAAUAUUUCAGACAACAGACUAAGCUGGGGGAAUGGUACUGGGCUGGUGAGCAAAGUGUGAGGAGGGAGCUCUUAUCUGGCACCUUCCAUGAAUCGCACUGUUGAGCCACCAGCCGUUGGCCCCAGAUGUGGAGUAGGCCUUGAUGCAGUUGAAUCAACUGUGAGUAAAAGAUGCACUAGUUUUAAUUUCCUGUGACUCAUUAAGAAAGCCCUGUUGGGCAAACUUUGCUUCCAAGGCCAAACCUGUGAGCUCACGCAUUUUGACUCUGCCCGUGGGCACGGCUGGAAGAGGUGACUUGGGCCACCAGACAGCUCUCUUCAGUCACAAGUCAUUGUGGGGUGACAUAUUGGAAAAUAUGGGCUCAGGUUUAUCUUUACUGGACCCAAAUUGGCCCGCGUAUGUUACUGACUUCAAACCCCUCCGUUCCACAAGCACUUACAAGGCAGACGCGGGAGUUGUACACAGGAGUGGGGAACGGUCAAGUCGCAGCUCUUACCUUUCUUGAAUUAGGGAACGGCGUUGCAUGGCCAAGGUUUUGCUGCAGCACAGACCCCAAAGGAGCCGCAUCGUUUUGCACUUAACAACCAUGAAGUCUUUUAUUGCAUAUAUAAACGUUCCCAGAGGCUAUUACUCAAAAGGGUUCAGCUAAUAAAG